CUACGUGCCAGCAGCCGCGGUAAUACGGAAGGUCCAGGCGUUAUCCGGAUUUAUUGGGUUUAAAGGGAGCGUAGGCGGACGAUUAAGUCAGCUGUGAAAGUUUGCGGCUCAACCGUAAAAUUGCAGUUGAAACUGGUUGUCUUGAGUGCACGCAGGGAUGUUGGAAUUCAUGGUGUAGCGGUGAAAUGCUUAGAUAUCAUGAAGAACUCCGAUCGCGAAGGCAUAUGUCCGGAGUGCAACUGACGCUGAGGCUCGAAAGUGCGGGUAUCGAACAGGAUUAGAUACCCUGGUAGUCCACGCAGUAAACGAUGAUAACUGGGCGUAUGCGAUAUACAGUAUGCUCCUAAGCGAAAGCGUUAAGUUAUCCACCUGGGGAGUACGCCGGCAACGGUGAAACUCAAAGGAAUUGACGGGGGCCCGCACAAGCGGAGGAACAUGUGGUUUAAUUCGAUGAUACGCGAGGAACCUUACCCGGGAU
Molecule: ribosomal RNA, 478 nt
Filed under: uncultured bacterium
Lineage: Bacteria
Description: bacterial SSU rRNA
Rfam family: Bacterial small subunit ribosomal RNA
Source: RNAcentral